GACGGAGGAUGCAAGCGUUAUCCGGAAUGAUUGGGCGUAAAGCGUCCGCAGGUGGCAGUUCAAGUCUGCUGUCAAAGACCGGGGCUUAACUUCGGAAAGGCAGUGGAAACUGAACAGCUAGAGAAUGGUAGGGGCAGAGGGAAUUCCUGGUGUAGCGGUGAAAUGCGUAGAUAUCAGGAAGAACAUCGGUGGCGAAGGCGCUCUGCUGGACCAUAACUGACACUCAGGGACGAAAGCUAGGGGAGCGAAUGGG
This 253-nucleotide ribosomal RNA is filed under the name uncultured bacterium. RNAcentral describes it as "partial 16S ribosomal RNA". It matches the Rfam family "Bacterial small subunit ribosomal RNA", at positions 524 to 776 of the family's 1533-position model. The record is from RNAcentral.